AUAAAGUAUGUGUGCAUGCAUGCA
RNAcentral lists this non-coding RNA (24 nucleotides) under Arabidopsis thaliana (thale cress). The record is from RNAcentral. Lineage: Eukaryota; Viridiplantae; Streptophyta; Magnoliopsida; Brassicales; Brassicaceae.